ACGGGGCGCAGCAGGCGCGAAAACUUUACAAUGCGGGAAACCGCGAUAAGGGGACACCGAGUGCCAGCAUUUAUGUUGGCUGUCCACAUGUGUAAACGGCAUGUGUUAGCAAGGGCCGGGCAAGACCGGUGCCAGCCGCCGCGGUAACACCGGCGGCCCGAGUGGUAAUCACUUUUAUUGGGUCUAAAGGGUCCGUAGCCGGUUUGAUCAGUUCUUCGGGAAAUCUGACAGCUCAACUGUUAGGCUUCCGGGGAAUACUGUCAGACUUGGGACCGGGAGAGGUAAGAGGUACUACAGGGGUAGGAGUGAAAUCUUGUAAUCCCUGUGGGACCACCAGUGGCGAAGGCGUCUUACCAGAACGGGUCCGACGGUGAGGGACGAAAGCUGGGGGCACGAACCGGAUUAGAUACCCGGGUAGUCCCAGCCGUAAACGAUGUUCGCUAGGUGUCAGGGGCGGUGCGACCGCUUCUGGUGCCGUAGGGAAGCCGUGAAGCGAACCACCUGGGAAGUACGCCGCAAGGC
This 522-nucleotide ribosomal RNA is filed under the name uncultured archaeon. RNAcentral describes it as "bacterial SSU rRNA". It matches the Rfam family "Archaeal small subunit ribosomal RNA", at positions 325 to 849 of the family's 1478-position model. The record is from RNAcentral.